CGCGUCGGGCAGCGAGUGAGCUGCGGCCGGCACGUGGCAGCCGCGGCGGCUCGGUCCCCUUCCGAACGGAGGUCGGCGUCCUCCGCUGCAUUGACCCCUCUCCCCUUCCUCACUCGAUCUGUCCUCACUCGAUCUGUUUCCUGGCGGAGGUCGACGUCCCCGACGCUACCGGCCCUGGAGGUCUCCGCUACGGAGCAGUGCAUCUACGGUAGGUGGAUUUGGCUCAGGUAAGAUUCAUAUUGCUUGGAUUUCGAUCUCUCUUCCCGCUCCCUGCUCAGCUUGAAGAUCUCUACUACAUGGAAUGGAGAUUGCUGCAGAGAAAACUUGGAUCAGCCACAUGGUCGAGGUGCUCGUCGGACAUAACGGCGGCUCCUGAUGCCGCAUUAACAGCAGGGGCAAAAGAAGAGGCGACCACGCAGGUCCCUGCUGGGGCGGUGGCGCCGUCGGGUGGCCUCGUGCCACCGUCCUAGCGCGGCCGCAUGGCCGGGACGGCUGGCGACCGGCGUGACCCGUGUUGGGGAAGCCACGGCCGCGGCGCGUUACCUCUUCCUCUCCGUUGCCCCGGCUCAGCUCAGCGACCUGAUCUGGUUGUCGUAUUCAGAGAUGCCGCAGUCCUUAUGCUUAAUUAUAUUCAUGAAAUUAGACCGCAUGGUUUUAAGUUGGAGUACAUCUACUUCGAAAUUAGCAUACAUAUUUGACUGAAUGGUAAGCUGGACUACAACUAUUUCAAAAUUAAGAUGCAUAUUUGACUCAAUGGAGAGGUACAUCCUUAAGAGAUGUAAUAGCAUGGGCCACAGCAGUUGCAAUUUCCAAAAUCAGUUAAGAUUCCAGUAUUUUAGUACAUGUAUCUAAAGUGUUCUUUCAUUUUUUUUUAGGUUGUUAUAUUCAGAGAUGCUGUAGUUCUUAUACUGAAUUGUGUUCAUGACAUUCGAGCACAAGGUUUUAAGUUGGACUACAGCUAUUGCAAAAAUAAGAUGCAUAUUUGACUGAAUGCUAAGUUGGAGUACAGCUAUUUGGAAAUUAAGAUGCAUAUUUGACUCAAUGGAGACGUACAUCCUGAAGAUAUGUAAUAGCAUGGGCCACAUCAUUUGCAAUUUCCAUUCUCAGUUUAAAUUCAAACAUCUUACCAUUUAUAGUUGCAUAUAGCUAUCCUCAUGUAAAGGUAUACUUCCUUCUCUAUCUGUUUUGCCCUCUUUCUUGUUGGACAUGUUGAUUCUUGAACUUUCUUGGAUAACAUAGUAAUAACUAGAUAUUGGGAAUUAAAUUUGACGUCAAUUGUGAUUAUGCUUACAUAUUUAAGAAGCAAAUCUUUGUAAGCCCAUUGAUUCAUAGACAUUCAAUUAUGCUUGUUGGUGGACUAUAAUAAAUCUGGAUGAACUGAUAAACAUAAUGCGAUGCCCUUCAGCUGCGCUUACAACUUUUCAUUCAUAUGCGUAAGUUGAAGUGUACUUUUACUACUAUUUUUCAUGUUUUGAUUACCUAAAUGUUCAACCAAGAUAUUUUUUUGGAAAUCAUUAAAUGACCCUAGAUUGAAUAAUGUUGCAUUCACAAUAUGAUUAUCUUGAUUCAUGAUUGCUUACCAAGUUUACUUCACAACGUCUACUAAUUUCCAUCCAAUGAGCAAAUAGCUAGGGUUAUUGGGCAGUUAAAUAAAGUUUCAGAGGUGUCAACAUCAUACGAUUAAAUUGGAUUGGAGAACUAAUAAACUUUCAGGGUUGUCCUGGAUUUAUUUUUUCAGAACCUUCCAUGUGUAUGACUGCUGCUGUAUCGCUAUCGUUGCUAUUGCUAUUCUUCUAUCUUCAUAUAAACCAUUUUACUUAAAUAGUGUAGCUGUUGUAUAUGAUUCAAUACCAGAGCAUCAGCUGGUCAUAUUUCUUUUUUUUAGCCAUAAAGAAACUUACAAAUAUGGGAGAUUGUUUGCUUCUAAUUUUCAUGUAUUCUCAUGCAUACCAUUUGCUUAUUGAAA
Long non-coding RNA from Panicum virgatum (switchgrass), 1966 nucleotides. RefSeq lists it as uncharacterized. The transcript is spliced from 2 exons. The record is from RefSeq and is a predicted model, not a curated record. Lineage: Eukaryota; Viridiplantae; Streptophyta; Magnoliopsida; Poales; Poaceae.